This 492-nucleotide ribosomal RNA is filed under the name uncultured bacterium. RNAcentral describes it as "partial 16S ribosomal RNA". It matches the Rfam family "Bacterial small subunit ribosomal RNA", at positions 29 to 507 of the family's 1533-position model. The record is from RNAcentral.
AGUGAACGCUGGCGGUAGGCCUAACACAUGCAAGUCGAACGGCAGCACAGUAAGAGCUUGCUCUUACGGGUGGCGAGUGGCGGACGGGUGAGGAAUACAUCGGAAUCUACUUUUUCGUGGGGGAUAACGUAGGGAAACUUACGCUAAUACCGCAUACGACCUACGGGUGAAAGCAGGGGAUCUUCGGACCUUGCGCGAUUGAAUGAGCCGAUGUCGAAUUAGCUAGUUGGCGGGGUAAAGGCCCACCAAGGCGACGAUCCGUAGCUGGUCUGAGAGGAUGAUCAGCCACACGGGAACUGAGACACGGUCCAGACUCCUACGGGAGGCAGCAGUGGGGAAUAUUGGACAAAGGGCGCAAGCCUGAUCCAGCCAUACCGCGUGGGUGAAGAAGGCCUUCGGGUUGUAAAGCCCUUUUGUUGGGAAAGAAAAGCAGCAGGUUAAUACCCCGCUGUUCUGACGGUACCCAAAGAAUAAGCACCGGCUAACUUCGUG